GGCCUACCAUGGUGGUAACGGGUAACGGGGUGUUAGGGCACGACACCGGAGAGGGAGCCUGAGAAACGGCUACCACAUCCAAGGAUGGCAGCAGGCGCGCAAAUUACCCAAUCCCGACACGGGGAGGUAGUGACAAUAAAUAACAAUACGGGGUUCUUUCGGAUCUCGUAAUUGGAAUGAGUACAAUUUAAAUCUCUUAACGAGGACCAAUUGGAGGGCAAGUCUGGUGCCAGCAGCCGCGGUAAUUCCAGCUCCAAUAGCGUAUAUUAAAGUUGUUGCAGUUAAAAAGCUCGUAGUUGAAUUUCGGGAUCAAUAUAUUGGUCAUGCUUAGGUAUGUACUGGUAUUAUUGAUUUCUCCCUUCUGAAGAACCAUGAUGUCAUUAAUUUGAUGUCGUGGGGAAUCAGGACUGUUACUUUGAAAAAAUUAGAGUGUUUAAAGCAGGCUUUCGCUUGAAUACAUUAGCAUGGAAUAAUGAAAUAGGACGUUUGAUUCUAUUUUGUUGGUUUCUAGGAUCGACGUAAUGAUUAAUAGGGAUAGUUGGGGGCGUUAGUAUUCAAUUGUCAGAGGUGAAAUUCUUGGAUUUAUUGAAGACUAACUACUGCGAAAGCAUUUGCCAAGGAUGUUCUCAUUAAUCAAGAACGAAAGUUAGGGGAUCGAAGACGAUCAGAUACCGUCGUAGUCUUAACCAUAAACUAUGCCGACUAGGGAUCGGAUGAUGUUAAUUUUUUAAUGACUCAUUCGGCGCCUUACG
RNAcentral lists this ribosomal RNA (752 nucleotides) under uncultured Glomus. RNAcentral describes it as "SSU rRNA". It matches the Rfam family "Eukaryotic small subunit ribosomal RNA", at positions 338 to 1092 of the family's 1831-position model. Lineage: Eukaryota; Fungi; Glomeromycota; Glomeromycetes; Glomerales; Glomeraceae. The record is from RNAcentral.